This is a small nucleolar RNA of Hevea brasiliensis (rubber tree), 89 nucleotides long. RefSeq annotates it as small nucleolar RNA Z102/R77. Lineage: Eukaryota; Viridiplantae; Streptophyta; Magnoliopsida; Malpighiales; Euphorbiaceae. The transcript has a single exon. The record is from RefSeq and is a predicted model, not a curated record.
CAAUGAUCAUAUGAUGUAUUUCCCCACCCUAUCGGUUUGAUUGCUGGGGAUGAUGGCAUCAGUUUUGUAUUAGCUCUCUCUGUUUGUUC